Molecule: ribosomal RNA, 253 nt
Filed under: uncultured bacterium
Lineage: Bacteria
Description: partial 16S ribosomal RNA
Rfam family: Bacterial small subunit ribosomal RNA
Source: RNAcentral
UACGUAGGGGGCAAGCGUUGUCCGGAUUUAUUGGGCGUAAAGAGCGUGUAGGCGGCCUGGAAGGUCAGCUGUGAAAACUCGAGGCUCAACCUCGAGACGUCGGUUGAAACCACCUGGCUAGAGUCCGGAAGAGGAGAGUGGAAUUCCCGGUUUAGCGGUGAAAUGCGCAGAUAUCGGGAAGAACACCCGUGGCGAAGGCGGCUCUCUGGGACGGUACUGACGCUGAGACGCGAAAGCGUGGGGAGCGAACAGG